Molecule: unclassified non-coding RNA, 256 nt
Filed under: Hygrocybe sp.
Lineage: Eukaryota; Fungi; Basidiomycota; Agaricomycetes; Agaricales; Hygrophoraceae
Description: partial contains small subunit ribosomal RNA, internal transcribed spacer 1, and 5.8S ribosomal RNA
Rfam family: Eukaryotic small subunit ribosomal RNA (bases 1-46)
Source: RNAcentral
AAGUCGUAACAAGGUUUCCGUAGGUGAACCUGCGGAAGGAUCAUUACUGAAAAAACCCGAGGAUGUUGCUGGCGGUGCGCAAGCGUUCGCACGUGCACUCCUUGAACUAUUUCCGACCCUUCUUACACCAUGUGCACCUGCUGUAGGUCGACCGACCUAUGUUUUUUAAUACAAAACUCCAUCGAAUGUAUAUGAAUGUACGAUUGCAAGGGCAGUCAAUAAAGCACAACUUUCAACAAUGGAUCUCUUGGCUCUC